AACCUUUGCAAUGUGCGCAAGCACGACAAGGUUAAUCCGAGUGUUUCCUGCUUAAGGAAUCUUUUGCUAGUCCUAAAAACACUAGUGAAUAAGGGGUGGGCAAGUUCUGGUGUCAGCCGCCGCGGUAAAACCAGCACCUCAAGUGGUCAGGAGGAUUAUUGGGCUUAAAGCAUCCGUAGCUUGCUUUGUAAGUUUCCGGUUAAAUCCAUUAGCUCAACUAAUGGCCUGCCGGAAAUACUGCAGAACUAGGAAGUGGGAGAGGUAGACGGUACUCGGUAGGAAGGGGUAAAAUCCUUUGAUCUAUUGAUGACCACCUGUGGCGAAGGCGGUCUACCAGAACACGUUCGACAGUGAGGGAUGAAAGCUGGGGGAGCAAACCGGAUUAGAUACCCGGGUAGUCCCAGCCGUAAACGAUGCAGACUCGAUGAUGCACUGGCUUGUGGUCAGUGCAGUGUCGCAGGGAAGCCGUUAAGUUUGCCGCCUGGGAAGUACGUACGCAAGU
Molecule: ribosomal RNA, 502 nt
Filed under: uncultured archaeon
Lineage: Archaea
Description: bacterial SSU rRNA
Rfam family: Archaeal small subunit ribosomal RNA
Source: RNAcentral